UACGUAGGGGGCAAGCGUUGUCCGGAUUUAUUGGGCGUAAAAGGCUUGUAGGUGGCCACGCCAAGUCGGAUGUGAAAUCUCCCGGCUCAACUGGGAGGGGUCAUUCGAUACUGGCGGGCUCGAGGCCGGUAGGGGGAAGUGGAAUUCCCGGUGUAGUGGUGGAAUGCGUAGAUAUCUGGAGGAACACCGGUGGCGAAGGCGGCAUCCUGGACCGGUAUUGACGCUGAGGAGCGAAAGCCAGGGGAGCAAAGCGGG
Molecule: ribosomal RNA, 255 nt
Filed under: uncultured bacterium
Lineage: Bacteria
Description: partial 16S ribosomal RNA
Rfam family: Bacterial small subunit ribosomal RNA
Source: RNAcentral